Molecule: long non-coding RNA, 752 nt
Organism: Tribolium madens (black flour beetle)
Lineage: Eukaryota; Metazoa; Arthropoda; Insecta; Coleoptera; Tenebrionidae
Exons: 4
Source: RefSeq, a predicted model, not a curated record
UGUAAAUAACUGUUUGACAAUUGAUAUCCAAAUUUGACCAACUCCAACUGUUAAUUGCUGAAAAACACAUAAAUAUCCUUGCGGUACCUACCAUUUCGCUUGUGAAGGUUUGUCGUUUCAUAGACUAACAGCAACCGAGAAAUAGAGAAUCCAGAGUAAUUUUUCUUGUCACCUGAACGAUAUAAAACAAGUCCCACUGCAGCUGUCAAUUUGAAAAUUUAUCGCUUGCAAUUAUUUAGAUUUUGGAUAUGGGUAGAAAAGUCAAGGGACACGACCACACACACCUCAGACUUCCGGUUGAAAAAAAAAACAUUUGGGUCUGAACCACUUCGAUCUCAAUUUUCAGAAAUUUAAAUAAUACCUGCAGUUAAUUAAAAAUCAAUUAAAGCGCCACCCUCGAAAGAAAUAAAUUAAAUUCUUCAUCAAAGCCUAAAAUUCGAACUUAUUACCGGUAAAACGUAGAUUUACGACAGAGAAGAUGCACCAGGCGGUAAGGUAUGGUAAAUCGGACAGCUGAAGAAGUUAUUGCAUCCCUCCAGUACGAAACAACGUUGUCUACCUUUGCGUCGGUUGUCUUUUGAAAGCCCUACGAAAAGAAUAGAUGACGUUCGAAUACCCGCUGUGCCACAAAGACCCAACAAAUUUUCGGCAGAAUUUUAGUCGCGUUCCUCCACCCUGCUGGGAUGGAAUGCCCGUUGAAGCGUUUCAAAUAUCCCACCUCCCUCGAAUCCGUGAACUAUAAUUACAAAUCU